This 442-nucleotide ribosomal RNA is filed under the name uncultured bacterium. RNAcentral's name for it is "partial 16S ribosomal RNA". It matches the Rfam family "Bacterial small subunit ribosomal RNA", at positions 338 to 795 of the family's 1533-position model. The record is from RNAcentral.
CCUACGGGUGGCUGCAGUGGGGAAUAUUGCACAAUGGGGGAAACCCUGAUGCAGCAACGCCGCGUGAGUGAAGAAGGCUUUCGGGUUGUAAACUUCUUUUAAGAGGGAAGAGCAGAAGACGGUACCUCUUGAAUAGCCCACGGCUAACUAGGUGCCACAAGCCGCGGUAAUACGUAGGUGGCAAGCGUUGUCCGGAUUUACGGGGGGUAAGGGGCGGGUAGCCGGGCUGCCAAUUCAGAGGUGAAAUCCCGUGGCCCAACCACGGAACUGCAUUUGAAACUGUCGGUCUUGAGUGUAGGAGAGGCAGGCGGAAUUCCUAGUGUAGCGGUGAAAUGCGUAGAUAGUAGGAGGAACACCAGUGGCGAAGGCGGCCUGCUGGACGACAACUGACGGUGAGGCGCGAAAGCGUGGGGAGCAAACAGGAUUAGAUACCCGAGUAGUC